GACCAGGAGUCAUGCGAAUGGCCGCCGCCUAACUCCGCCAGGUUCGGAAGGAAGCAACGGUAAGCGGCCGGUUAUUGCGCCGUGAUCCCCCUGGUUCGG
RNAcentral lists this signal recognition particle RNA (99 nucleotides) under Treponema sp. RNAcentral describes it as "signal recognition particle sRNA small type". It matches the Rfam family "Bacterial small signal recognition particle RNA". Rfam says of the family: The signal recognition particle (SRP) is a universally conserved ribonucleoprotein involved in the co-translational targeting of proteins to membranes. Archaeal SRP consists of a 7S RNA and homologues of the eukaryotic SRP19 and SRP54 proteins. Lineage: Bacteria; Pseudomonadati; Spirochaetota; Spirochaetia; Treponematales; Treponemataceae. The record is from RNAcentral.